This 267-nucleotide ribosomal RNA is filed under the name uncultured bacterium. Its description in RNAcentral is "partial 16S ribosomal RNA". It matches the Rfam family "Bacterial small subunit ribosomal RNA", at positions 793 to 1055 of the family's 1533-position model. The record is from RNAcentral.
GUCCACGCUGUAAACGAUGGCCACUCGGCCUUUGGGGGCGGAAUCUCCGUCGCUGGGGGCCUUAGCUAACGCGGGAAGUGGCCCGCCUGGGAACUACGAGCGCAAGCUUAAAACUCAAAGGAAUUGACGGGGGCCCCGCACAAGCAGCGGAGCGUGUGGUUUAAUUCGACGCAACGCGCAGAACCUUACCCAGGUUUGACAUGGCACUGCAAGCCCACGAAAGUGGGUCGCCUUCGAGGGGUGCCACAGAUGCUGCAUGGCUGUCGU